UCCGCUUUAGGAUGGGGCUGCGGCCCAUCAGCUAGUUGGUGCGGUAACGGCGCACCAAGGCGACGACGGGUAGGGGGCCUGGGAGGGUGACCCCCCACACUGGGACUGAGACACGGCCCAGACUCCUACGGGAGGCAGCAGUGAGGAAUAUUGCACAAUGGGCGAAAGCCUGAUGCAGCGACGCCGCGUGGGUGAAGAAGGUCUUCGGAUCGUAAAGCCCUUUUCUGCGUGACGAGGAAGGACGGUAGCGCAGGAAUAAGUCUCGGCUAACUACGUGCCAGCAGCCGCGGUAAAACGUAGGAGACAAACGUUAUCCGGAGUUACUGGGCGUAAAGGGCGUGCAGGCGGUUUCUUAAGUUCGUCGUGAAAUCGCCCGGCUUAACCGGGCGGGGUCGAUGGAUACUGGGGAACUAGAGGGCGGUAGAGGCGUGUGGAAUUCCGGGUGUAGUGGUGAAAUGCGUAGAUAUCCGGAGGAACACCAGUGGCGAAGGCGACACGCUGGGCCGUACCUGACGCUAAGACGCGACAGCAUGGGGAGCGAACGGGAUUAGAA
RNAcentral lists this ribosomal RNA (553 nucleotides) under uncultured bacterium. Its description in RNAcentral is "bacterial SSU rRNA". It matches the Rfam family "Bacterial small subunit ribosomal RNA", at positions 214 to 783 of the family's 1533-position model. The record is from RNAcentral.